This 504-nucleotide ribosomal RNA is filed under the name uncultured bacterium. Its description in RNAcentral is "partial 16S ribosomal RNA". It matches the Rfam family "Bacterial small subunit ribosomal RNA", at positions 29 to 507 of the family's 1533-position model. The record is from RNAcentral.
ACGAACGCUGGCGGCGUGCCUAAUACAUGCCAGUAGAACGCACAGUUUAUACCGUAGCUUGCUACACCAUAGACUGUGAGUUGCGAACGGGUGAGUAACGCGUAGGUAACCUGCCUGGUAGCGGGGGAUAACUAUUGGAAACGAUAGCUAAUACCGCAUAAUAUUAAUUAUUGCAUGAUAAUUAAUUGAAAGGUGCAAUUGCACCACUACCAGAUGGACCUGCGUUGUAUUAGCUAGUAGGUGAGGUAACGGCUCACCUAGGCGACGAUACAUAGCCGACCUGAGAGGGUGAGCGGCCACACUGGGACUGGGACACGGCCCAGACUCCUACGGGAGGCAGCAGUAGGGAAUCUUCGGCAAUGGACGAAAGUCUGACCGAGCAACGCCGCGUGAGUGAAGAAGGUUUUCGGAUCGUAAAGCUCUGUUGUAAGAGAAGAACGGGUGUGAGAGUGGAAAGUUCACACUGUGACGGUAUCUUACCAGAAAGGGACGGCUAACUACGUG